RNAcentral lists this ribosomal RNA (505 nucleotides) under uncultured bacterium. RNAcentral describes it as "bacterial SSU rRNA". It matches the Rfam family "Bacterial small subunit ribosomal RNA", at positions 29 to 527 of the family's 1533-position model. The record is from RNAcentral.
AUUGAACGCUGGCGGCAUGCCUUACACAUGCAAGUCGAACGGUAACGCGGGGCAACCUGGCGACGAGUGGCGAACGGGUGAGUAAUAUAUCGGAACGUGCCCAGUAGUGGGGGGAUAGCCCGGCGAAAGCCGGAUUAAUACCGCAUGAGACCUGAGGGUGAAAGCGGGGGAUCGCAAGACCUCGCGCUAUUGGAGCGGCCGAUAUCAGAUUAGGUAGUUGGUGGGGUAAAGGCCUACCAAGCCGACGAUCUGUAGCUGGUCUGAGAGGACGACCAGCCACACUGGAACUGAGACACGGUCCAGACUCCUACGGGAGGCAGCAGUGGGGAAUUUUGGACAAUGGGCGCAAGCCUGAUCCAGCAAUGCCGCGUGCAGGAUGAAGGCCUUCGGGUUGUAAACUGCUUUUGUACGGAACGAAAAGGCUCUGGUUAAUACCUGGGGCUCAUGACGGUACCGUAAGAAUAAGCACCGGCUAACUACGUGCCAGCAGCCGCGGUAAUCAACG